Molecule: ribosomal RNA, 403 nt
Filed under: Verrucomicrobiota bacterium
Lineage: Bacteria; Pseudomonadati; Verrucomicrobiota
Description: Verrucomicrobia bacterium partial 16S ribosomal RNA
Rfam family: Bacterial small subunit ribosomal RNA
Source: RNAcentral
UGGGGAAUAUUGCACAAUGGGCGCAAGCCUGAUGCAGCAACGCCGCGUGAACGAUGAAGGUCUUCGGAUCGUAAAGUUCUGUUGCAGGGGAAGAUAAUGACGGUACCCUGUGAGGAAGCCCCGGCUAACUACGUGCUAGCAGCCGCGGUAAUACGUAGGGGGUUAGCGUUAUCCGGAUUUACUGGGCGUAAAGGGUGCGUAGGUGGUCUUUCAAGUCGGUGGUUAAAGGCUACGGCUCAACCGUAGUUAGCCUCCGAAACUGGAAGACUUGAGUGCAGGAGAGGAAAGUGGAAUUCCCAGUGUAGCGGUGAAAUGCGUAGAUAUUGGGAGGAACACCAGUAGCGAAGGCGGCUUUCUGGACUGCAACUGACACUGAGGCACGAAAGCGUGGGUAGCAAACAGG